GAUGAAGAACGCAGCGAAAUGCGAUAAGUAAUGUGAAUUGCAGAAUUCAGUGAAUCAUCGAAUCUUUGAACGCACAUUGCGCCCGCCAGUAUUCUGGCGGGCAUGCCUGUUCGAGCGUCAUUUCAACCAUCAAGCCCCCGGCUUGUGUUGGGGACCUGCGGCUGCCGCAGGCCCUGAAAACCAGUGGCGGGCUCGCUAGUCACUCCGAGCGUAGUAAUACAUCUCGCUCAGGGCGUGCUGCGGGUUCCGGCCGCUAAAAAGCCUUAUUUACCCAAGGUUGACCUCGGAUCAGGUAGGAAGACCCGCUGAACUUAAGCAUAUCAAUAAGCGGAGGA
RNAcentral lists this unclassified non-coding RNA (335 nucleotides) under soil metagenome. RNAcentral's name for it is "partial contains 5.8S ribosomal RNA, internal transcribed spacer 2, and large subunit ribosomal RNA". The stretch from base 1 to 120 matches the Rfam family "5.8S ribosomal RNA", at positions 35 to 154 of the family's 154-position model. The record is from RNAcentral.